This 317-nucleotide unclassified non-coding RNA is filed under the name air metagenome. Its description in RNAcentral is "partial contains small subunit ribosomal RNA, internal transcribed spacer 1, and 5.8S ribosomal RNA". The stretch from base 1 to 46 matches the Rfam family "Eukaryotic small subunit ribosomal RNA", at positions 1786 to 1831 of the family's 1831-position model. The record is from RNAcentral.
AAGUCGUAACAAGGUUUCCGUAGGUGAACCUGCGGAAGGAUCAUUAACGAAUAUCUAUGGUGUCUUGGUUGUCGCUGGCUCCUCGGAGCAUUGUGCACGCCCGCCAUUUUUAUCUUUCCACCUGUGCACCGACUGUAGGUCUGGAUAACUCUCGCCUCUGGGCGGAUGCGAGGAUUGCUCGGUAACCCGGGCUCUCCUCGAAUUUCCAGACUCUACGUCUUUUUACACACCCCAAACGUAUGAUACAGAAUGUAGUCAAUGGGCUUCAUAGCCUAUAAAACACUAUACAACUUUCAGCAACGGAUCUCUUGGCUCUC